This 342-nucleotide small RNA is filed under the name Histoplasma capsulatum. Its description in RNAcentral is "hypothetical RNA". Lineage: Eukaryota; Fungi; Ascomycota; Eurotiomycetes; Onygenales; Ajellomycetaceae. The record is from RNAcentral.
CCUCGGGUGAAUGGGCUGCUGCCCGGGCUGGACUGUUUGUCUUCCGGAAUGCGCAGUGUUCUGAUUAUUUGAUUAUUCUUUCGGAGUACAUUCAUGAUUCUUGUUGAGCGUAAAUGAGUUAGAGCCGGGAGGAGGCGUCUGCCACUGCUAGUUUGAGGAUUGAUUUUUUUUUUUUUUUUUGAGAAACGGAGAACUGGGAAAGGGGCACGGAUAUAGUGCUUUCUCCGGGCGCUUCAAUUUCUUGAAAUCAUUGAAGUCAAUGAGACGGAGAUCUUGCUGGUUAUUGGAAAAUAGAGUAGCUCAGUUUGAAACCAGCUUGAAUUUGGGUUAAAAAAAUAUAAG